Molecule: ribosomal RNA, 254 nt
Filed under: uncultured bacterium
Lineage: Bacteria
Description: partial 16S ribosomal RNA
Rfam family: Bacterial small subunit ribosomal RNA
Source: RNAcentral
GACGAACCGUGCGAACGUUAUUCGGAAUCACUGGGCUUAAAGCGCGUGUAGGCGGGGCGGCACGUCGGUCGCUGAAAUCCCCCGGCUCAACCGGGGAAGGGGCGCCGAUACGACCGGCCUGGAGGGACGUAGGGGGAGCUGGAACUUCCGGUGGAGCGGUGAAAUGCGUUGAGAUCGGAAGGAACGCCCGUGGCGAAAGCGGGUCUCUGGGCAGUAACUGACGCUGAGGAGCGAAAGCGUGGGGAGCGAACAGG